UGAGAGCACUGUAGUAAAUAUUGAGGUUCGGAUUAUGCCUGAUUGAACGCUGGCGGAUGCUUUACACAUGCAAGUCGAACGGCAGCACGGACUUCGGUCUGGUGGAAGAGUGGCGAACGGUGAGUAAUGUAUCGGAACGCCUAGUAGCGGGGGAUAAUUGCGCGAAAGGUAGCUAAUACCGGGCAUUGCCCUUCGUGUAGGCGGGGACCUUCGGGCCUCGCACUAUUAGAGCGGCCGAUAUCGGACAGUUAGGUUGCGGGUAACGGUCACUCAAGGCGACGAUCCGUAGCUGAGCCGAGAGACGACCAGCCACACUGGGAGAUCAAAGCCCAGACUCGCAUGGGAGGCAGCAGUGGGGAAUUCUUGACAAUGGGGGAAACCCUGAUCCAGCCAUCCCCAUGCGGGUGAUGGCCUUCGUUGUGAAAAGCACCUUUGGCAGGAGAAAACGGCACGGGAUAAUACCCCGUGCAACUGACGGUAUUCUGCAGAAUAAGACCGGCUAACGCAUUACGUGCCAGCAGCCGCGGUAAUACGUAGGGCAAAAAGCGUUAAUCGAACACGGGCGUAAAGCGUGCGCAGGCGGUCUGAAAGAAAGAUGUAAAUCCCCAGAGCGAACUUGGAACUGCAUUUUUAACUACCGAGCUAGAGUGUGUGUCAGGAGGGAGGUGAAUUCCGCGUAGCAGUGAAUGCGUGACAUGCGGAGGAACACCGAUGGCGAAGGCAGCUCUGAUAAUACUGACGCCACCAUGCACGAAAGCGUGGGGAGCAAACAGGAUUAGAUACCCUGGUAGUCCACGCCCUAAACGAUGUCAACUAGCUGCUGGGGCCUUCGGGCACACGGUAUGCAGCUGGAACGGGUGAAGUUGACCGCCUGGGAGUACGGUCGCAAGAUUAAACCAAAGGAAUUGAAUGGGGACCGCACAAGUGUGGAUGAUGUGGAUUAAUCGAUGCAACGCGAAAACCUUACCUAUGGAUGCCUGGAAUCUCUUGAAGAGAUUUGGGUGAGGUUUCAAGAACCGGGAACACAGUGCUGUGCAGCUGUCGUCAGUCGCCAGAGAUGUUGUUGAGUCCCGCAACGAGCGCAACCCUUUGUCAUUAGUUACAUGAAAGGGCACUCUAAUGAGACUGCCGGUGACAAACCGAGGAAGGGAUGACGUCAAGUCCUCAUGACCCUUAUGGUAUAUUACUGCGUCAUACAAUGACGGACAGAGGGUCGCCAAACCAGGCGAGGGGGAGCCAAUCCCAGAAAAAUCCCGAUUGAAGUCCGGAUCGCAGUCUGCAACCUGACUGUGUGAAGUCGAAUCACAGGUAAUCAGAUCGCGGCGUGGCUGCGGUAGAAUUACUGGCUCCGGUCUUGUACACACCGCCCGUCACACCAUGAGGUCUUACCAGAAGUAGUUAGCCUAACCGUAAGAGGGCGAUUACCACGGUAGGAUUCAAGAUCAGUGUGAAGUCGUAACAAGGUAG
RNAcentral lists this ribosomal RNA (1467 nucleotides) under uncultured Bordetella sp. Its description in RNAcentral is "partial 16S-23S ribosomal RNA intergenic spacer". It matches the Rfam family "Bacterial small subunit ribosomal RNA". Lineage: Bacteria; Pseudomonadati; Pseudomonadota; Betaproteobacteria; Burkholderiales; Alcaligenaceae. The record is from RNAcentral.